GGGGAAUUUUGGACAAUGGGCGCAAGCCUGAUCCAGCCAUGCCGCGUGGGGGAAGAAGGCCUUCGGGUUGUAAAGCUCUUUUGUCGGGGAAGAAAUGCAGCUGGUUAAUACCCGGUGCUAAUGACGGUACCUGAAGAAUAAGCCCCGGCUAACUUCGUGCCAGCAGCCGCGGUAAUACGUAGGGUGCAAGCGUUAUUCGGAAUUACUGGGCGUAAAGCGCGCGUAGGCGGUUUUUUAAGUCAGAUGUGAAAUCCCCGGGCUCAACCUGGGAACUGCCUUGGAAACUGCCAGGCUAGAGUCCGGUAGAGGGGAGUGGAAUUCCCCGUGUAGCGGUGAAAUGCGUAGAUAUCGGGAGGAACACCGAUGGCGAAGGCAGCUCCCUGGACCAAUACUGACGCUCAGGCACGAAAGC
RNAcentral lists this ribosomal RNA (412 nucleotides) under beta proteobacterium SCGC AAA041-G17. RNAcentral describes it as "bacterial SSU rRNA". It matches the Rfam family "Bacterial small subunit ribosomal RNA", at positions 356 to 760 of the family's 1533-position model. The record is from RNAcentral. Lineage: Bacteria; Pseudomonadati; Pseudomonadota; Betaproteobacteria.